UACGGAAGGCAGCAGUGGGGAAUAUUGCACAAUGGGCGCAAGCCUGAUGCAGCCAUGCCGCGUGUAUGAAGAAGGCCUUCGGGUUGUAAAGUACUUUCAGUCGUGAGGAAGGUGUUAAGGUUAAUAACCUUAGCAAUUGACGUUAGCGACAGAAGAAGCACCGGCUAACUCCGUGCCAGCAGCCGCGGUAAUACGGAGGGUGCGAGCGUUAAUCGGAAUUACUGGGCGUAAAGGGCACGCAGGCGGUUAAUUAAGUUGGAUGUGAAAUCCCCGGGCUUAACCUGGGAAUGGCAUUCAAGACUGGUUAGCUAGAGUCUUGUAGAGGGGGUAGAAUUCCAUGUGUAGCGGUGAAAUGCGUAGAGAUGUGGAGGAAUACCGGUGGCGAAGGCGGCCCCUGGACAAAGACUGACGCUCAUGUGCGAAAGCGUGGGGAGCAAACGAGGGAUUAGAUAC
This 453-nucleotide ribosomal RNA is filed under the name uncultured bacterium. RNAcentral describes it as "bacterial SSU rRNA". It matches the Rfam family "Bacterial small subunit ribosomal RNA", at positions 340 to 785 of the family's 1533-position model. The record is from RNAcentral.